UACGUAGGGUGCAAGCGUUGUCCGGAAUUAUUGGGCGUAAAGAGCUCGUAGGCGGUCUGUCGCGUCGGCUGUGAAAUCCCGAGGCUCAACCCCGGGUCUGCAUUCGAUACGGGCAGACUAGAGUUCGGUAGGGGAGUCUGGAAUUCCUGGUGUAGCGGUGAAAUGCGCAGAUAUCAGGAGGAACACCGGUGGCGAAGGCGGGACUCUGGGCCGAUACUGACGCUGAGACGCGAAAGCGUGGGGAGCAAACAGG
Molecule: ribosomal RNA, 253 nt
Filed under: uncultured bacterium
Lineage: Bacteria
Description: partial 16S ribosomal RNA
Rfam family: Bacterial small subunit ribosomal RNA
Source: RNAcentral